This 498-nucleotide ribosomal RNA is filed under the name uncultured bacterium. RNAcentral describes it as "bacterial SSU rRNA". It matches the Rfam family "Bacterial small subunit ribosomal RNA", at positions 899 to 1397 of the family's 1533-position model. The record is from RNAcentral.
ACUCAAAUGAAUUGACGGGGGCCCGCACAAGCAGUGGAGUAUGUGGUUUAAUUCGAAGCAACGCGAAGAACCUUACCAGGGCUUGACAUCCCUAGAAUCCUGUGGAAACAUGGGAGUGCCGCAAGGAGCUAGGAGACAGGUGGUGCAUGGUUGUCGUCAGCUCGUGUCGUGAGAUGUUGGGUUAAGUCCCGCAACGAGCGCAACCCCUAUCGCUAGUUGCUACCAUUAAGUUGAGAACUUUAGCGAGACUGCCGGUGACAAAUCGGAGGAAGGUGGGGACGACGUCAAAUCAUCAUGCCCCUUAUGUCCUGGGCUACACACGUACUACAAUGGCAUUUUAACAACGGGAAGCGAAGUCGCGAGGCGGAGCGAAUCCCCAAAAAAUGUCCCAGUUCGGAUUGCAGGCUGAAACUCGCCUGCAUGAAGUAGGAAUUGCUAGUAAUCGCGGAUCAGAAUGCCGCGGUGAAUACGUUCCCGGGCCUUGUACACACCGCCCGU